AAGAGGCGUACACAUGGCCAGGAGUAAUUUGAGUUACCAGAGGAAGCAUGGACCUGUAACUGACAGAGUGAGGAUUGUGCUCCAGAAGUAAAACAUAGUUUCAAAGCAACAGACAGGGAUUCAUAAGGGGCAGAAAAACAGCUCUCCAAAGAUGUCUACAUGAAAAUCCUGACUCUGCGAAUGUAUUACUUUACACAGCAAAAGGAAUUUGGCAGCUGUGAUUUAAUCGAAGAUCAUGAGAUGGAAAGAUUAUUAUCUGUGUGCAUCUAACAUAAUCACAAAGGUCCUUUUAAUGUGAAAGAGGAAGACAGGAGAGUCAGAGGGUCAGAGAAGAUGUGAAUACAGAAGCAGAGGUCACAACGACGUGAGAAAGGCACAUCUGGCUUUGAAGAUAGAGGGGCGAUGUGCCGAGGAAUGCAGGAAGCCUAAAAAGCUGAAAUAAGCAAGAAGUGGAUUCUUUCCUGCUGCUGCCAGAAGGGACAUACCCCUGCAGACACCUUGAUUUUUGCCCCAUAAUACUCUUUUUAGAUUUCUGACUCAUAGAAAUAUAAGAUAAUAAAUUUGCUUUGUUGUAAGCCACUAAGUUAGUGGUAAACGGUAAGUUUGUAAAGCAAUAAGAAAUGAACAGACAUUUAAGAAUAUUAUUUUAAGUCUAUGCUUAGACUUUUCCCAAGAAUAUUUAUGCAAUGGGAUUAUAUUCUAGUUUUAUAACUGAGUUAAUUUAUAUAGCAAUAUAUCAUAAAUGUCUCUUCAAAUUAAUACAUGCACAUCUAUGGUAAUAACUAUGAAUUACUAUGUAGUAUAUUUUAUGUAUAUAUUAUAGUUAUUAAUCAAUCUGAAAUUGUGAGGCCUUUAGUUUUCUUCUUAUAUUUUUGCUAAUAUAUAGAGUGUUUGGGAAAAUAUUUUUAUAUAUGAAACUGUGUCAAUCUAUGGUUUUUUUACUUGUAUUUUCAAAUCUAAUAUUAUUAUUUAGUAUAACAUAAAUUAUUUUGAUGGGAAACUCAUAUUUUCAAUGUUUUAGGUAUAUAACUAGUUUGCCUUCCAAAAAAGGCAAAUUAAUUGCACCAAUUAUUAAUUAGCCCCAUCAGUUUAUAAGAUAGGUGGGAGAAGGGUCUGCCAUUUUUAGUUAUAAUCUAAAACCCCCAAAAAACAGAACAGUAGUUUUUUUCUGAAAAUCAGAUUUCUCACAGAAUGAAAUAAAUUAAAAACUCAUACUUGUUAUAUUCCCUUAAAACAAUAGAAGAAUGAUGUAGAUGGAGUAUAUGUCCUUAUCAUGCAACUCAGAUUAUAUACCUAAAAAUAUGCAACUCAUAGUUAUUUGAAAAAUUAAUAUAGAAACCUAGAUUGAAACCUUUAAAAAGUUGCCAAAAAUCACCAUUUAAAAUUAGUUGAUUUAUUAAAAUUUUGAACAGGAAGUUUAUUCAAUGUAUUUAAGACAAAAAUUAAUGUUGGUAGAUAUUACAUAAAACCUAGAAAUCUAUUUCCCCAUAUUAAAAACGAAUAAUGAAGUAAGAAAAGAGAGAGAGAAAUGACGGGAAAAAAUGAAUACACAAUAGAUAGUUCAAAUGAUUAAAUGGUAAGUGAAAAGGAUUUAAAAAAUAAAAAACAGUGAGGAAAAAUAUUAUCUCCAAUGGCUGUGUCUCAUAGCUUAUUAGUCUCUUAUCAAAUGCACUGUUUUAAAGAAAAUUAUUGCAGUAAUGCUAAUUUCUUUAUAUAUUUUGGACAUGAAAACCUGUAUUAGGAGGCAACAAAAUAAUUUGCACAGUAGUAUGAAUACUGUAUUUGAUAAACAAUAAUUUUUUAAGAUGGGUUUGUAGAGUACCACGGACUAUAUUUCAGAUUUCAAAAGUAGAAGAUAUGAGCAAUUUCUUCUAAUAAAUGUUUACAAAAUGAUCAGGUAAAUAAAUCACCUUUUACAAAUCUAUCAAAUUAAAAAAUUGAAAUCUGGAGAAGUUAGGAGGCUUGCCAAAUAGUUCAAAGAAAGUAUUUUUAUGAGACUCCAACACUAUUGACUUUCAGCUUAACACUUGUUUAUAUCAUGCACAAUAUCAAAUAUAGAGUAUAAGAAGGGAAUAUAAUACAGAAAGUAAUAUAAUCAUUUCAAAAAAAGUGAAGCUGAAUUUUUAAAAAAUAUAAUUCUCCUAUAAUUUUUUAGGUACUUGAAAAUUAUAUUGGCCUAUUUUAUUUAUUUUGUUAGAUAGUGAUGGUGCAAAUACUGGUCUUUAGAAACAGAACAAUGCUCCAAAAUUACCCUAUGCUGCAUAUUGCCAAUAAUAUAACUGUAAGAUAUGUAUUUAGUCUUAAACUAUCUUAUUUAUCACCAAAUACCUACAGCUAACAGCUGAAGGGAACGAUACAAUUCUGAAUAAGCAUGUAUAAAGAAUGCUUAGGGCUUAAGCACAAACUAAAUAAAGUUUAUCGCUUUUGUC
Molecule: long non-coding RNA, 2429 nt
Organism: Homo sapiens (human)
Lineage: Eukaryota; Metazoa; Chordata; Mammalia; Primates; Hominidae
Exons: 2
Source: RefSeq, a predicted model, not a curated record